Molecule: ribosomal RNA, 497 nt
Filed under: uncultured bacterium
Lineage: Bacteria
Description: partial 16S ribosomal RNA
Rfam family: Bacterial small subunit ribosomal RNA
Source: RNAcentral
UCUUCCCUCUUUCUUCGUGCCUAAUACAUGCAAGUCGAGCGAACGGACGAGAAGCUUGCUUCUCUGAUGUUAGCGGCGGACGGGUGAGUAACACGUGGAUAACCUACCUAUAAGACUGGGAUAACUUCGGGAAACCGGAGCUAAUACCGGAUAAUAUUUUGAACCGCAUGGUUCAAAAGUGAAAGACGGUCUUGCUGUCACUUAUAGAUGGAUCCGCGCUGCAUUAGCUAGUUGGUAAGGUAACAGCUUACCCAGGCAACGAUGCAUAGCCGACCUGAGAGGGUGAUCGGCCACACUGGAACUGAGACACGGUCCAGACUCCUACGGGAGGCAGCAGUAGGGAAUCUUCCGCAAUGGGCGAAAGCCUGACGGAGCAACGCCGCGUGAGUGAUGAAGGUCUUCGGAUCGUAAAACUCUGUUAUUAGGGAAGAACAUAUGUGUAAGUAACUGUGCACAUCUUGACGGUACCUAAUCAGAAAGCCACGGCUAACUACGUG